This 909-nucleotide long non-coding RNA is filed under the name Homo sapiens (human). RNAcentral describes it as "HSALNT0318617". The record is from RNAcentral. Lineage: Eukaryota; Metazoa; Chordata; Mammalia; Primates; Hominidae.
UUUUUUGGUUUUUUUUUGAAAGGGAAAAAAAUUUUUUUAAUUACAAACUCAAUUCAUUUGGUGCAUUUCAAAGGUGCAAUACUUUUCUUCAUUUAUCAGUGAAAGAAGUUAGAAAUUAACUUCCCAAAAAAAUCAGCAAAUGGCAAACAAAUGUCCUUGAAAGUCACAGUCACAUAUAGUGCGUCCUAGAAAAGAGGAGGGGCAAGACGGGCUCCACCCACUUUCAUGAGUUUCAUCAAAUACUGGAUCUACUCAAGGGUGGAGAGAAAAGGCAACUUUCAAAAAGGAGUAUGUUAUUAAAUGAGGCAUUUACUAUACUCCUUCCUAAGAGCACCAGAUGGGGAACAUGUUUUCUAAACUAGAUCUAGGAAAUGGAAUGUGGAAUCAAUCCGUCCUCCUCCCCUUAAGGGCUAACCACUGGUUAAUGAAUUAAAAAAACAAGACUAAAAAACAAACCCCACACACACUCCCCCCCAAAAAAAGAGGAGGGAAAAAAAACAAAACAAAACACUAAGAUGUCCCAGAUUACUCUCCAGAGUGGAACCAGGGAGCAGCUUCAACAAUUCCAAUUAGUCUGUUACAGAGUCAUCCAUAAGCAUGCCUUGCUUUUAAACAAAACAAACAAACAAAAAAACACACACAAAAAAAUUUUUUUUGAAACAACAAAAAAAAAACUAGUACUAAUCACUUUUCUGACAAUACAAUUACUCAAAAUUAACUAGUACUGGGAGGGGGAAGGGGGGGCCAUACCUAUGGGCCUUGUCUCACACGAGUGCAUGUGGGUAGGUGCAGGGCAUUUGUCAUUAUUGGAAAAACGAAUUUUAAUUUUUAAUCUUUAGUUUGAUUUAAACAUUGCUUUUAGUAUGAUGCCGACACCAGCUGUGCAGAAAGGGCUCUGGAGAGAUGUUC